CGGACUUGAAAAUCCGUUGGCUUUAUUGACCGUGAGGGUUCAAGUCCCUCUACCCCCA
This 58-nucleotide transfer RNA is filed under the name Cratoneuron filicinum var. atrovirens. Its description in RNAcentral is "partial tRNA-Leu". Lineage: Eukaryota; Viridiplantae; Streptophyta; Bryopsida; Hypnales; Amblystegiaceae. The record is from RNAcentral.